This 257-nucleotide ribosomal RNA is filed under the name uncultured bacterium. RNAcentral describes it as "partial 16S ribosomal RNA". It matches the Rfam family "Bacterial small subunit ribosomal RNA", at positions 524 to 777 of the family's 1533-position model. The record is from RNAcentral.
GACGAACCGUGCGAACGUUAUUCGGAAUCACUGGGCUUAAAGCGCGUGUAGGCGGGACGGCACGUCGGUCGCUGAAAGCCCCCGGCUCAACCGGGGAACGGGCGCCGAUACGACCGCCCUGGAGGGACGUAGGGGGACCUGGAACUUCCGGUGGAGCGGUGAAAUGCGUAGAUAUCGGAAGGAACACCGGUGGCGAAAGCGGCGCGCUGGACUCCCUACUGACGCUGAGGCGGCGAAAGCUAGGGGAGCAAACGGGG